AAAAAGGCAAACCAUGAGUUUCCGUGCAAACGUUUGACUGUCCGUCUUAUAAAAAAAUUAUAAUUAGUAUUUUUAUUGUUGUUAGAUGAUAAAACAUGAUUAAUACUUUAUGCGUGACUUAUCUUUUUUUUUCAUUUUUUUUCAAAUAAGACGACGGUCAAACGUUGGACACGGAAAACAGAGUUUGUCUUUUUU
Non-coding RNA from Oryza glumipatula, 195 nucleotides. Lineage: Eukaryota; Viridiplantae; Streptophyta; Magnoliopsida; Poales; Poaceae. The record is from Rfam.